This 447-nucleotide ribosomal RNA is filed under the name uncultured bacterium. Its description in RNAcentral is "bacterial SSU rRNA". It matches the Rfam family "Bacterial small subunit ribosomal RNA", at positions 355 to 825 of the family's 1533-position model. The record is from RNAcentral.
UGGGGAAUAUUGGACAAUGGGCGAAAGCCUGAUCCAGCCAUGCCGCGUGAGUGACGAAGGCCUUAGGGUUGUAAAACUCUUUCGUCGGGGACGAUAAUGACGGUACCCGAAGAAGAAGCUCCGGCUAACUUCGUGCCAGCAGCCGCGGUAAUACGAAGGGAGCUAGCGUUGUUCGGAAUCACUGGGCGUAAAGCGCACGUAGGCGGAUAGUUAAGUCAGGGGUGAAAUCCUGGGGCUCAACCCCAGAACUGCCUUUGAUACUGGCCGUCUCGAGGUCGAGAGAGGUUGGUGGAAUUCCUAGUGUAGAGGUGAAAUGCGCAGAUAUUAGGAGGAACACCGGUGGCGAAGGCGCCGCUCUGGGCCGAAACUGACGCUGAGGAGCGAAAGCAUGGGUAGCAAACAGGAUUAGAUACCCCCGUAGUCCCUGAGCGGGCUGGCAAGGCGCAU